GUGGGGAAUCUUCCGCAAUGGACGAAAGUCUGACGGAGCAACGCCGCGUGAGUGAAGAAGGUUUUCGGAUCGUAAAGCUCUUUCGUUAGGGACGAACGUGCUCUUUGUGAAUAAUGAGGAGUAAUGACGGUACCUAAAUAAGAAGCCACGGCUCACUACGUGCCAGCAGCCGCGGUAAUACGUAGGUGGCAAGCGUUGUCCGGAAUUACUGGGCGUAAAGCGCGCGCAGGCGGGAUAUCAAGUCUGUCUUAAAAGUGCGAGGCUCAACCUCGUGAGGGGACAGAAACUGGUAUUCUUGAGUGUCGGAGAGGAAAGUGGAAUUCCAAGUGUAGCGGUGAAAUGCGUAGAGAUUUGGAAGAACACCAGUGGCGAAGGCGACUUUCUGGACGAUGUCUGACGCUGAGGCGCGAAAGCUAGGGGAGCGAACGGGAUUAGAUACCCGAGUAGUCC
RNAcentral lists this ribosomal RNA (450 nucleotides) under uncultured bacterium. Its description in RNAcentral is "partial 16S ribosomal RNA". It matches the Rfam family "Bacterial small subunit ribosomal RNA", at positions 354 to 796 of the family's 1533-position model. The record is from RNAcentral.